ACAACGACUCUCGGCAACGGAUAUCUCGGCUCUCGCAUCGAUGAAGAACGUAGCGAAAUGCGAUACUUGGUGUGAAUUGCAGAAUCCCGUGAACCAUCGAGUCUUUGAACGCAAGUUGCGCCCGAAGGCCAUUCGACCGAGGGCACGCCUGCCUGGGUGUCACGC
This 165-nucleotide ribosomal RNA is filed under the name Sonneratia x gulngai. RNAcentral's name for it is "5.8S ribosomal RNA". It matches the Rfam family "5.8S ribosomal RNA". From Rfam's summary of the family: 5.8S ribosomal RNA (5.8S rRNA) is a component of the large subunit of the eukaryotic ribosome. It is transcribed by RNA polymerase I as part of the 45S precursor that also contains 18S and 28S rRNA. Lineage: Eukaryota; Viridiplantae; Streptophyta; Magnoliopsida; Myrtales; Lythraceae. The record is from RNAcentral.